UAUGUAGGCGGUUUAUCAAGUCAGAUGUGAAAUCCCAUGGCUUAACCAUGGAACUGCAUUUGAAACUGAUGAACUUGAGUAUAAGAGGGGUGGUGGAAUUCCUGGUGUAGUGGUGAAAUACGUAGAUAUCAGGAGGAACAUCUGUGGCGAAGGCGGCCACCUGGCUUAAUACUGACGCUGAGAUACGAAAGCGUGGGAGCAAACA
RNAcentral lists this ribosomal RNA (205 nucleotides) under uncultured bacterium. RNAcentral's name for it is "partial 16S ribosomal RNA". It matches the Rfam family "Bacterial small subunit ribosomal RNA", at positions 568 to 774 of the family's 1533-position model. The record is from RNAcentral.